This 260-nucleotide ribosomal RNA is filed under the name uncultured bacterium. Its description in RNAcentral is "partial 16S ribosomal RNA". It matches the Rfam family "Bacterial small subunit ribosomal RNA", at positions 545 to 793 of the family's 1533-position model. The record is from RNAcentral.
UCGGAAUUACUGGGCGUAAAAGCGCAUGCAGGCGGUCCUGUUAAGUCUAGAUGUAGAAAGCCCCGGGGCUUAACCUCGGAAUUUGCAUUUUGAAAACUGGCAGGCUAGAGUCUUGUAGAGGGGGUAGAAUUUUCAGGUGUAGCGGUGAAAAUGCGUAGAGAUCUGAAGGAAUACCAGUGGCGAAGGCGGCCCCCCUGGACAAAGACUGACGCUCAGAUGCGAAAAGCGUGGGGAGCAAACAGGAUUAGAUACCCUGGUAG